Molecule: ribosomal RNA, 253 nt
Filed under: uncultured bacterium
Lineage: Bacteria
Description: partial 16S ribosomal RNA
Rfam family: Bacterial small subunit ribosomal RNA
Source: RNAcentral
UACGGAGGAGGCAAGCGUUAUCCGGAAUUAUUGGGCGUAAAGCGUCCGUAGGUGGUUUAGUAAGUCUGCUGUUAAAGCGCGGGGCUUAACUCCGUAUCGGCAGUGGAAACUACUAGACUAGAGUGUGGUAGGGGUAGAGGGAAUUCCCAGUGUAGCGGUGAAAUGCGUAGAUAUUGGGAAGAACACCGGUGGCGAAGGCGGUUCUCUGGGCCUUACCUGACGCUGAGGAGCGAAAGCGUGGGGAGCGAACAGG